GGAGUUAGCCGGUGCUUCUUCUGUGAGUGAUGUCCUUCCUGCCGGUUAUUGACCCGCAGGCCUUCUUCCUCACUGAAAGUGCUUUACAACCCGAAGGCCUUCUUCACACACGCGGCAUGGCUGGAUCAGGGUUGCCCCCAUUGUCCAAUAUUCCCCACUGCUGCCUCCCGUAGGAGUCUGGGCCGUGUCUCAGUCCCAGUGUGGCUGAUCAUCCUCUCAGACCAGCUACGGAUCGUCGCCUUGGUGAGCCGUUACCUCACCAACCAGCUAAUCCGACAUAGGCUCAUCCGAUAGCGCGAGGCCCGAAGGUCCCCCGCUUUCCCCCGUAGGGCGUAUGCGGUAUUAGCCUGGGUUUCCCCAGGUUAUCCCCCACUACCGGGCAGAUUCCUAUGCAUUACUCACCCGUCCGCCGCUCGCCACCAGGGAGCAAGCUCCCCGUGCUGCCGCUCGACUUGCAUGUGUUAGGACUGCCGCCAGCGUUCAAUCUGAGCCAGGAUCAAACUCUGA
This 507-nucleotide ribosomal RNA is filed under the name uncultured bacterium. RNAcentral's name for it is "partial 16S ribosomal RNA". The record is from RNAcentral.